UGGGGAAUUUUGGACAAUGGGCGAAAGCCUGAUCCAGCAAUGCCGCGUGUGUGAAGAAGGCCUUCGGGUUGUAAAGCACUUUUGUCCGGAAAGAAAUCCUUGGCUCUAAUACAGUCGGGGGAUGACGGUACCGGAAGAAUAAGCACCGGCUAACUACGUGCCAGCAGCCGCGGUAAUACGUAGGGUGCAAGCGUUAAUCGGAAUUACUGGGCGUAAAGCGUGCGCAGGCGGUUUGCUAAGACCGAUGUGAAAUCCCCGGGCUCAACCUGGGAACUGCAUUGGUGACUGGCAGGCUAGAGUAUGGCAGAGGGGGGUAGAAUUCCACGUGUAGCAGUGAAAUGCGUAGAGAUGUGGAGGAAUACCGAUGGCGAAGGCAGCCCCCUGGGCCAAUACUGACGCUCAUGCACGAAAGCGUGGGGGAGCAAACAGGAUUNGAUACCCUGGUAGUCCACGCCCUAAACGAUGUCAACUAGUUGUUGGGGAUUCAUUUCCUUAGUAACGUAGCUAACGCGUGAAGUUGACCGCCUGGGGAGUACGGUCGCAAGAUUAAAACUUAAAUGAAUUGACGGGGUC
Molecule: ribosomal RNA, 573 nt
Filed under: uncultured bacterium
Lineage: Bacteria
Description: partial 16S ribosomal RNA
Rfam family: Bacterial small subunit ribosomal RNA
Source: RNAcentral